This 504-nucleotide ribosomal RNA is filed under the name Escherichia coli. Its description in RNAcentral is "bacterial SSU rRNA". It matches the Rfam family "Bacterial small subunit ribosomal RNA", at positions 1028 to 1532 of the family's 1533-position model. Lineage: Bacteria; Pseudomonadati; Pseudomonadota; Gammaproteobacteria; Enterobacterales; Enterobacteriaceae. The record is from RNAcentral.
CGUGAGACAGGUGCUGCAUGGCUGUCGUCAGCUCGUGUUGUGAAAUGUUGGGUUAAGUCCCGCAACGAGCGCAACCCUUAUCCUUUGUUGCCAGCGGUCCGGCCGGGAACUCAAAGGAGACUGCCAGUGAUAAACUGGAGGAAGGUGGGGAUGACGUCAAGUCAUCAUGGCCCUUACGACCAGGGCUACACACGUGCUACAAUGGCGCAUACAAAGAGAAGCGACCUCGCGAGAGCAAGCGGACCUCAUAAAGUGCGUCGUAGUCCGGAUUGGAGUCUGCAACUCGACUCCAUGAAGUCGGAAUCGCUAGUAAUCGUGGAUCAGAAUGCCACGGUGAAUACGUUCCCGGGCCUUGUACACACCGCCCGUCACACCAUGGGAGUGGGUUGCAAAAGAAGUAGGUAGCUUAACCUUCGGGAGGGCGCUUACCACUUUGUGAUUCAUGACUGGGGUGAAGUCGUAACAAGGUAACCGUAGGGGAACCUGCGGUUGGAUCACCUCCUU